This 115-nucleotide ribosomal RNA is filed under the name uncultured bacterium. Its description in RNAcentral is "partial 16S ribosomal RNA". It matches the Rfam family "Bacterial small subunit ribosomal RNA", at positions 1371 to 1482 of the family's 1533-position model. The record is from RNAcentral.
UUCCCGGGCCUUGUACACACCGCCCGUCACACCACGAAAGUCGGCAAUACCCGAAGCCGGUGGCCUAACCCGCAAGGGAGGGGAGCCGUCGAAGGUAGGGUCGAUGAUUGGGGUG